Molecule: ribosomal RNA, 250 nt
Filed under: uncultured bacterium
Lineage: Bacteria
Description: partial 16S ribosomal RNA
Rfam family: Bacterial small subunit ribosomal RNA
Source: RNAcentral
UACGAGUGGCCCAAGCGUUAUCCGGAAUUAUUGGGCGUAAAGGAUAUGUAGGUGGUCGUAUUAGUCCGAUGUCUAACCUCUAGGCUCAACCUGGAGACAGCAUUGGAAACGGUAUGACUAGAGUAUGUUAGGGGUAAGCGGAACUCAUAGUGUAGGGGUGAAAUCCGUUGAUAUUAUGGGGAACACCAAAAGCGAAGGCAGCUUACUGGAGCAUUACUGACACUGAAAUAUGAAAGCGUGGGUAGCGAAU